RNAcentral lists this ribosomal RNA (233 nucleotides) under uncultured bacterium. RNAcentral's name for it is "partial 16S ribosomal RNA". It matches the Rfam family "Bacterial small subunit ribosomal RNA", at positions 544 to 776 of the family's 1533-position model. The record is from RNAcentral.
UUCGGAAUUACUGGGCGUAAAGGGCGCGUAGGCGGCCCGCUAAGUCGGACGUGAAAUCCCCAGGCUCAACCUGGGAACUGCGUCCGAUACUGGCAGGCUUGAAUCCGGGAGAGGGAUGUGGAAUUCCAGGUGUAGCGGUGAAAUGCGUAGAUAUCUGGAGGAACACCGGUGGCGAAGGCGGCAUCCUGGACCGGUAUUGACGCUGAGGCGCGAAAGCUAGGGGAGCAAACGGG